AUACGGAGGGUGCAAGCGUUAAUCGGAAUUACUGGGCGUAAAGCGCACGCAGGCGGUUUGUUAAGUCAGAUGUGAAAUCCCCGGGCUCAAACUGGGAACUGCAUCUGAUACUGGCAAGCUUGAGUCUCGUAGAGGGGGGUAGAAUUCCAGGUGUAGCGGUGAAAUGCGUAGAGAUCUGGAGGAAUACCGGUGGCGAACGCGGCCCCCUGGACAAAGACUGACGCUCAGUUGCGAAAGCUUGGGGAGCAAACAGAAUUAGAUCCCCUGGUAGUCCACGCCGUAAACGAUGUCGACUUGGAGGUUGUGCCCUUGAGGCGUGGCUUCCGGAGCUAACGCGUUAGGUCGACCGCCUGGGGAGUACGGCCGCAAGGUUAAAGCUCAAAUGAAUUGACGGGG
This 396-nucleotide ribosomal RNA is filed under the name uncultured bacterium. RNAcentral's name for it is "partial 16S ribosomal RNA". It matches the Rfam family "Bacterial small subunit ribosomal RNA", at positions 523 to 918 of the family's 1533-position model. The record is from RNAcentral.